UGCAACUGCCCAAGUGACCAUGACAGUUACAUGCUCCAUCCUGGAGUAGAGAGGAGAUAUUAGAUCUCCUGGGUCUGUGGAAAGAAAAGGCUGUGCAAGCACAGCUACGGACCAGCCAUAGAAACAUCAACAUUAUGAUCAGAUCGCAUGGGGGAUGCAGGAGAAAGGGCAUGACAGGGAUCAGCAGCAGUGUCACAUGAAAGUGACAGGAUUGCAUCAGGCAUACCAGAAGGCCAGGGAGGCCAACAGCUGAUCUGAUGCCAAGCCACAGACCUGCCGCUUUUACAAAGAGCUGCAUGCUAUCCUUAGCGGAGCCCCCCUCCUCCCCCGCUCUUCACCAUGGAUACCUCCAAGAAGCACAAGCCACAGAUGCCUGGCAUAAACAGUGAGAAUGAGGAGGAUGGGGGACAGGGAACUGGAAGCAGGUGGAGGGAAAUCCAGCUACACUGUGAGCCAGGAUCUGUGAGACUCCAAUGCAGUCCAAUCAGUCGAGCAUGGGCAAGCCUGAUGCAGGGAAAGGAAUCUCAGCGUUGAAGGGGUCCCUCUCCACACUUGCAGAAUGCCUGAGCCAGAUAAGGAGAAAGAAGAGGACUCGGUAUAACAUUUUCAAUGAGAUCCUGCAACCCAGUGCUGCAUCACACCAUCAGCAAUGGGCCUGGAGGGCGAACACUGCAGGCAGCCUGGAGAAGGAAACAGCAGACAGGAGAAAGGCCCAGAAGUCCCAGCAGGAAAAGGAGAGGGAGAUGCAUCAGGACUUAAUAGAGCUUCUCUGUCAGCAACCAGAUGCUGCUGACUGUUGUGGACCUACAGGUUCAACAACCAUGGGAUCCUGUCCCUUUUCAGUCCCUGGAGAAUUCCACUACAGCACCUCCCCUCACACACUCCUACCCAACAUUCCAUGUGAUAGUAGGGGGAACAUACCUACCCUUGCCACAUUAAGGACAACCACAACUUCACAUACAGCAACCAUGGCUUUUGCAGGUCAGUGUAUGUGUAGCUAUGGUUGAAAUGUAGCAUUUUUCAUAGAAUCAGAUUAUUAGGGUUGGAAGGGACCUCAGGAGAUCACGAUAAAUGUUCUUUCUCCUUAAGUUCUGUUCCAUUAAUUUAGUAAGUUUUUAAUGUAUUUGCUUUUAAGUUAUACAUUUUUCUGUGCACUGGUUUUGUUAGAGUAAAGUUAUAUUAUUGGAAAAUAAGUAAUCUUUAUUAGUUCACAACAUAUGCUGCUGAGUGCCUUGCAGUUCUGAAAACACCCACUUACUUGUCACUGUACUACACCAUAACACAGCUCAUAGGAUCAGUGACAUAGUGUAAUCAUCAUAAAUGAACACCAAGCACCGCAAAAUUAAUAGCUGCAUUGACAGUGUUCUAUUCAGAGAUGUACACCAAGCACCCCACAAUUCCUAACACCCACAAUACAUCAGGAGCAGGUACAGCACAGUACGUUACUGUGGCUCACUGUUAAAAGUGCUCUUUGCAAGCCUCCCUCAGCCAGAUAGCUCUGUGAUGAGCUCUAACAGCCCUUGUAUCUGGCUGUUCAAACUCUGCAGACAGCUGCUCCACUCCUGUCCUACAGACCUGUGGCAACUUUCCCCCCUUUGCUUCACAGAUCUUAUGCAAGACACAGUGGGCUGCUAUAACUAUUAGGUUUUUUUUCCACACUGAGAUACAAUUUUGUAAGUAAACAAUGCCAGCGUCCCUUCAAUCUACCAAAAGCACAUUCAACCAUCACCUUGCUUGGGUGCUAGUUGCUUGGUGCUGUUGAGGUGGCUGGUGUAUGGCUUCAUGAGGCAAGGGAGCAGGGGAGGCUGGGUCCCCCCCAAGGCUGUUAGUGGUACUUUAACAUUGCCAGUUGUAGCUUUCUGAAAAGUCCUGUGUUCUUAAACAUGCACCUUCCUUGAGCAGCCAUCAUUUUACUGGUGACGCAUCCCCCGUGAGCCAUCAAUGCUUGCAUAAUCACAGAAAAGUAGCCCUCUCUGUUGAUCUACCCUGUGGCAAAGUGGCCAGGUGCCAAAAUUGGGAUUUGAAUGCCAUCUAUUGCUCCACCACAGUUCGGAAACCCCACUGCUGCAAAUCCAUUCUCUAUGUCUUGCACAUUGCCGAGAGUCACAGCCCUGGAUAACAGGAGAUGAUUAAUGGCCCUGCACACUUGCAUGACAGUCUCCUGCAGUGGAUUUUCCAACUCCAAAACAAUUUCCCACUGACUGGUAGCAAUCUGGUGUUGCAAGUUUCCCCAGUGUGAUUGCCACUUACUUUUCCACUGUCAGAGAAGUUCUCAUUUUUGCGUCCCUGCGCUGGAUGCCUUGUGUGAGCUUGGUGCACAGAUCCAGGAAUGUGGCCUUGUACAUCUGAAAGUUCUGCAGCCACUGCUCAUCAUCCCAAUCCUGUAUUAUGAUCUGAUCCCACCAAUCAGUGCUCAUUUCUCAGGCCCAGAAGCAGUACUCCACCCUAUGCAGCUGCUCUGCGACCAACACCAGAAACCUUGAAUUAGUUCUCACUGGCCCAUAUCAAUCUGUCCUCCGAGAAGCUGUUAUGUUCCCCACUGAUGAGGUUCUUCUUAUGGCUUGGCAAAUACCAGAGGAUCAUGUGUCCUGUGCUUGCAAUGUUUAGGACAAUAGUGCAGAGCUGUGCAGGCUCCAUGCUUCUGUCAGAAAUACUGGACUGAGAGGACUGCAUGGGUAUGUGGGCUUUUUAACAAAAGUGUGAAAAUUAUGGGGUAUAGAUGACAUUAUAGGAUGGAGACAGUUACACUCUGGGAACCUGAUCCCUUGCUCCCAGUCACCCCUGCACAACUUGUUUCUAUCCCACCCUGUCUUGCCAAAAUUUCUCAAAACACACUGUGCCUGACAGUGGCAGAUUGCACACUGGGAUUGGAAGCUCAAUUUCAGACUUAAAAGUGACCAUUCUUCAACAAAAAAAACCCUUCAAAAACAGACUUCAAUGAGAAAAUGCAGAACUGGAAUUCAUUUGCAAACCUGACACCAUCAAAUUAGGCCUGAACAAACACUGGGAAUGUCUGGCUCACUACAAGAAGUAAUGUCCUAUCGACUGUUGAGUAUCGGCCAUCCACCUGAUGGAACUGGCAUUGUUAGCACUACAAAAAGUAAUUUUUACUCUGACAUUCACUGUCAAUUAUUGGGAAUGGGACACAUCCACCCUGAUUGAAUCAUUGCCCCCCACCCCCACAUGGUAAGGUAACUCCCUCUUUUCUUGUGCUGUAUAUUUAUGCCUGCCUACUGUAAUUGUCACUCCAUAUAUCUGAAGAAGUGGGUCACAGCCCACAAAAGCCUAUGCUCUAAUAUAUUUGUUAGUCCUUAAGAUGCCACAAGACUC
Molecule: long non-coding RNA, 3330 nt
Organism: Gopherus evgoodei (Goodes thornscrub tortoise)
Lineage: Eukaryota; Metazoa; Chordata; Testudines; Testudinidae
Exons: 2
Source: RefSeq, a predicted model, not a curated record